CCUAUAAGACUGGGAUAACUUCGGGAAACCGGAGCUAAUACCGGAUAACAUUUAGAACCGCAUGGUUCUAAAGUGAAAGAUGGUUUUGCUAUCACUUAUAGAUGGACCCGCGCCGUAUUAGCUAGUUGGUAAGGUAACGGCUUACCAAGGCGACGAUACGUAGCCGACCUGAGAGGGUGAUCGGCCACACUGGAACUGAGACACGGUCCAGACUCCUACGGGAGGCAGCAGUAGGGAAUCUUCCGCAAUGGGCGAAAGCCUGACGGAGCAACGCCGCGUGAGUGAUGAGGGGUUUCGGCUCGUAAAACUCUGUUAUUAGGGAAGAACAAAUGUGUAAGUAACUGUGCACAUCUUGACGGUACCUAAUCAGAAAGCCACGGCUAACUACGUGCCAGCAGCCGCGGUAAUACGUAGGUGGCAAGCGUUAUCCGAAAUUAUUGGGCGUAAAGCGCGCGUAGGCGGUUUCUUAAGUCUGAUGUGAAAGCCCACGGCUCAACCGUGGAGGGUCAUUGGAAACUGGGAAACUUGAGUACAGAAGAGGAAAGUGGAAUUCCAUGUGUAGCGGUGAAAUGCGCAGAGAUAUGGAGGAACACCAGUGGCGAAGGCGACUUUCUGGUCUGUAACUGACGCUGAUGUGCGAAAGCGUGGGGAUCAAACAGGAUUAGAUACCCUGGUAGUCCACGCCGUAAACGAUGAGUGCUAAGUGUUAGGGGGUUUCCGCCCCUUAGUGCUGCAGCUAACGCAUUAAGCACUCCGCCUGGGGAGUACGACCGCAAGGUUGAAACUCAA
Molecule: ribosomal RNA, 789 nt
Filed under: uncultured Staphylococcus sp.
Lineage: Bacteria; Bacillati; Bacillota; Bacilli; Caryophanales; Staphylococcaceae
Description: bacterial SSU rRNA
Rfam family: Bacterial small subunit ribosomal RNA
Source: RNAcentral